GGUGUAGCUCAGCGGUUAGAGCGCCACCCUCAUAAAGUGGAUGUCGGAGGUUCGACUCCUCCCACC
Molecule: transfer RNA, 66 nt
Filed under: marine eukaryotic metagenome
Rfam family: tRNA
About the family: Transfer RNA (tRNA) molecules are approximately 80 nucleotides in length.
Source: RNAcentral